GCUACAAUUUGUUUCGCCUUUUCGACUCGUUUCACGAUGUAACAAUAACAAGGGCGACACUAGCGACAUCUAGUAAUGAGUUUUGAAUCUUUUGAAAGUUGCCCAACUACUUGUUGUUCCUAUGACCUAUGUCAUGAAACGAGACGAAAUGGGCGAAACAAAACAAAUUAAUGCUAAUUAUAUUUAUAUUCCUCUGAUUUCAAAUACCAAAUGGAACUUCGUAUCUUAUAUGCAGACUUGCAUAGCUACUGUCAGACUGUCAGUCAUUCAAACAAGUUGACUUAGUGCUCAGUCACUUUCCAUCUAUUAGAUCCUCAUACUGUCAAAAGCCUAAAACUUCUGUUUGAAGCCCACAUAGAGUGGAAUACAAAUGUGAGGAGAUAAGGUAUUUUCCCACUACUGCUACCACACCAACCACACUACGUCAAAUGCCUUACUAAAUCAUCACCCAAAUGAUAAAGGAAAUUUAUCCCACCCGAGGAGUAAUGCUGUUGGCUGCUGUAAUUCCAUUAUUACGGUUUUUCAUCAUGAACAUUUCAAUGUGCUUCUUAGAAAAAAUCAUGCAAGAUCCCCACGGACAUCCUUGAGCAAUUGAAUGCUGGAUUUUGCCCAUGACAGAAGAAGGACUUCCACCAAUGUUCUGCUCCAUCCUUAUUUUCAAGACGUACGCUCAUCCAGCUUCACUGCUUCAGUGCUUCUUUGCUGCUUCACUGGAGAGUUAGUUCACUUCAGUUGCUGUGACACACCUGCAGUCACUCACAACGGGAUUAUGGUCAGGUAAUGCAGCGGAAACGUCGAGAAGAUGGACACCAAAACGUCGCCAGUAUCUCCAAAAUGGCAGCGCGGAUCAUCAUUUGUUGUUGGUAAUAUGUUUUCGUUUGUGUAAGUUAACUUGUUGUCUGCCACGCCUUUGUUCUCCCCUAGCUCCUUAGCACGGGCCGCGCUGUUCAGUCUCGUGGUUUUCAUGCCGCGGGAUCGGAAAGUCGCCAAGUCCAAAAUUUGCCGCAAGGCGCCUGUUAGGCAAUGCACCAUAGUUCCCCCUUGUCGAUGCGGUGACUUGUCAGCAA
Long non-coding RNA from Daphnia pulicaria, 1067 nucleotides. RefSeq lists it as uncharacterized. The transcript is spliced from 5 exons. Lineage: Eukaryota; Metazoa; Arthropoda; Branchiopoda; Diplostraca; Daphniidae. The record is from RefSeq and is a predicted model, not a curated record.